GCCAGCACGCAUGCGCGAGGCAGUGCUGAAAACAUCGCCAUUGAGAGGUGUACGUGUUGUUGUGUGGCGCGAGUUUGACCCAAUAUUACCCUUGUGUCGCGAGUUACCGAGGAUCUUACAGUGCGUUCGUGCGUUGUGAUGUGCUAUGUGCCACUCCCACACCUGCACCCCUCAGUAUAGUGUGCGAGGAUAGCGAAAUAAGAGGAGCACCACAAGAUGAGCACGGGAAGUGGGGAUGCAGCCUCCACCCCUGAAGCCACGACCCUCCCCACCACCAUGAUGGACGCCUCCACCACCAGCCUGCCGCCCCUCACCUCCCCCGGCACCAUGAGUCCCACCAACAUACCCAUCGACGACCUGCCCUUUGUCCAGACCACCGCUGCCCAGGCCAUCGCGGGGGCCUUUGUGUGGGCAGCCCUGCUCAUCACUUGUCAUCAGAUCUACCAACACCUCCGUUACUACAGCAACCCGGCAGAGCAGAGGUGGAUAGUGAGGAUUCUUCUGUUCGUCCCCAUCUACGCCUUCGACUCCUGGCUUUCCCUCCUCUUCUACAACAUGGACAACUACAUCUACUUCAACACCGUCAGAGAUUGCUAUGAAGCGUUUGUGAUCUACAACUUCCUGAGCUUGUGUUACGAGUACCUGGGUGGUGAGGGGAAUAUCAUGAGUGAGAUCAGAGGAAAGCCCAUCAGGUCCUCUUGCAUGUACGGCACCUGCUGUCUGGCGGGGAAGACCUACACCAUUGGCUUUCUGAGGUUUUGCAAGCAGGCGACACUUCAGUUCUGCUUCGUCAAACCCGCCAUGGCGUUCAUUACCAUCAUCCUGCAGUUUCUUGGGAAGUACCGCGAUGGGGACUGGAGUCCUGAAGGCGGCUACCUCUACAUCACCAUCAUCUACAAUAUCUCGGUGUCGCUGGCCCUGUACAGUCUCUUCCUCUUCUACUUUGCCACCCGGGACUUGCUGCAGCCCUAUGAUCCGGUGCUCAAGUUCUUCACCAUUAAGUCCGUCAUCUUCCUCUCCUUCUGGCAAGGUGUGUUACUUGCCAUCCUGGAGAAGGCAAACGUGAUCAAGGCCGACCCACACCUCAAUACUGGCACUGUCUCCGCCGGCUACCAGAACUUCAUUAUCUGUGUGGAGAUGUUCUUCGCCUCGGUGGCCCUGCGCUACGCCUUCCCCUACCAGAUCUAUGGGGACUUCACUGUCUCUGGCCCAGGUCGUAGUGUCACCAUGCAAAGUAUCUCCUCCUCCCUCAAGGAAACCAUGAACCCUAAGGACAUCAUGACAGACGCCAUCCACAACUUCCACCCGCAGUACCAGCAAUACACCCAGUACAGUGCAGGGGGAGGAGGCCGCCCCACACAGGUACUGACGCAGAGCCACGACAUGGAGGAGCUGCGACCUGACCUCCUGCCCGUCUCCACCUCCACCACCACUGCUGGCACCCCUGACCCCACCAGCACUGCCACCACCCACCCUGCACGGGGCCCUGGCGGCGGCAGUGGUGGUGGGGCAGGGACCACUGUGGUGGGGUCAGGCCUCAGUGUCAUCUCGAGUGCUGUUCCCUCAACAACACAGGCCCAGCAGAUUACUAGGCUGCCUCCACCGCCCUCCAAAGGAGGCACCACCAGAGGCUCAGGACACACCGCAGUGAGCACAUACGAUGCAGAUGAGGCGCCCCGCUCAAACAGCAGCAACGGGAUUAACGGCAUGAGUGGCAGCCACGGGAACAGUGGUGGCGGCACAGGAGGGGGCGGAAGGGGACCACAGAACGGAGGGCGGAAUGGAAAUGGACGGGUUGCUUAUAAUGAGAAGACGAUGCUGUUGAGUUCUGAUGAUGAGUUCCAGUGAGGUGGUGAGGGUUGAAUGUCAUCCGAACCUCAAAGGUACAGCUGACACGAAGCAGUCUCCUCCACACACGGCAGGAAGGAAGGAAGGAAGGGAGGAAGCCAGGCACCAAACACCAACUCAGACCUUUAGUUCACUUGUCCUGCAGAACCGGGGAAAAACGUCUUUCGUUAAUGUGGGAUCACACUUUAGCAGGAGAGCUGGUGGGAUGGGGGGGUGUUUGGCCAGAUGUCACACUGGUGCUUCAAGCUGCCUAGGAAACUGUUCUGUACAUUCUUUUUUGGGUGCAUCAUAGCCCUUUGUGUUUCUCCACCUCCCUUAAUUCCAUCAUCAUUAUUGCAUCAUUGUCCUUCCUCCUGUUCCUCCUCCUGUUUUCCUUGUCACAAAUGGAGCGUUCAUGACUUGAGUUUCAUGUUUUAUUUAUUGGAAGUCUGCUAUGAGUCUGUUUUUCUUUUAAUAUAGCAGGUGGCGAGAAUGACUGACUGAAUGAGUGUGUGUGUUGUCAUGUCAUUUCAUCUUGUCUGUGUCCAUCUCCCUGAUUCUUCCAAACGUGAUGCUGUGUCGUGCAAGUCAAGUCAGAAACAUUACUGUGGACUUGACAUUAUGAUACCCUGGAAGAACUGAGGCAUUCCUAACUGUACAGCCUUGUGAGCAUUCCAAGAAAUCAGUAAAUACAAUACAUACCACAAUUCUCAGUAAAGUAAGAAAAUGCAACAAAACAUUUUAUCACUAGAAAAUUGAUAUGACCAUUCCAUUACCCUUGUCAGAACUGUAGCGACUGACAGCGCGUGUGGAGUGUGUGAGGAGUACAUAGGGAAGGGGAAAGAUGUGCUGGUUCUUAGUUGUCUCACCAAGAGUUACAAUUAAACAUCUCUCAAGAACAUAUUUCACUUCACGUGGUAGCAGUGUAGCCUCGGGACGAUUCUUUUGUCACAAUAACUGCAGAAAAAAACAUCAAACACGGAGGUGGUUCCUUUAUAUGAUUUCCGUGGAGUGUGUUGUGGAAAUCUAGUGUGUGUGUGUGUGUGUGUGUGUGUGUGUGUGUGUGUGUGUGUGUGUGUGUGUGUGUGUGUGUGUGUGUGUGUGUGUGUGUUGGUGGACAGGUGUGGUAUGUCAUUACUAGCUGGUGCUUAGGAAUGGUCAGUAGAUGUGUUUUAUAAUGAUAUGAGUGGUCAGUUAGAUGAAUUUGUCUUUAGAAUAUUGAAAUUUGUGAAGCUAUGUACACACACACACACACACACACACACACAGAGUAAUAGAUCAAUUAAUUAAUUACACAAAA
This 3127-nucleotide unclassified non-coding RNA is filed under the name Portunus trituberculatus (swimming crab). RNAcentral describes it as "transmembrane protein 184B-like, transcript variant X2". Lineage: Eukaryota; Metazoa; Arthropoda; Malacostraca; Decapoda; Portunidae. The record is from RNAcentral.